ACUUUCAACCACUAGUGUAGUGGUUAUCACGUUCGCCUAACACGCGAAAGGUCCUCGGUUCGAAACCGAGUGGAAACA
Molecule: non-coding RNA, 78 nt
Organism: Brienomyrus brachyistius
Lineage: Eukaryota; Metazoa; Chordata; Actinopteri; Osteoglossiformes; Mormyridae
Source: the annotation of a RefSeq genome assembly